Molecule: ribosomal RNA, 543 nt
Filed under: uncultured bacterium
Lineage: Bacteria
Description: bacterial SSU rRNA
Rfam family: Bacterial small subunit ribosomal RNA
Source: RNAcentral
AAUAGAUACCCCGGUAGUCCACGCCGUAAACGUUGGGCACUAGGUGUGGGACCUUAUCAACGGGUUCCGUGCCGUAGCUAACGCAUUAAGUGCCCCGCCUGGGGAGUACGGCCGCAAGGCUAAAACUCAAAGGAAUUGACGGGGGCCCGCACAAGCGGCGGAGCAUGUUGCUUAAUUCGAGGCAACGCGAAGAACCUUACCUAGGUUUGACAUGUAGGGAAAAGCCGUAGAGAUACGGUGUCCUUUUGGGCCCUACACAGGUGGUGCAUGGCUGUCGUCAGCCCGUGCCGUGAGAUGUUGGGUUAAGUCCCGCAACGAGCGCAACCCUUGUCCUAUGUUGCCAGCGGGUAAUGCCGGGGACUCGUAGGAGACUGCCGGGGUCAGCUCGGAGGAAGGUGGGGACGACGUCAAGUCAUCAUGCCCCUUAUAUCUAGGGCUGCAAACAUGCUACAAUGGCCGAUACAAAGGGCUGCUAUACCGCGAGGUGGAGCGAAUCCCAUAAAGUCGGUCUCAGUUCGGAUUGGAGUCUGCAACUCGACUCCA